AUUGAACGCUGGCGGCAGGCUUAACACAUGCAAGUCGAACGAGUGGCGGACGGGUGAGUAAUGCUUGGGAAUCUCGCUUAUGGCUGGGGAUACCUACGGGAAACUGUAGCUAAUACCGCUUACCCUAGGAUGAGCCCAAGUGGGAUUAGGGAGUUGGUGAGGUAAAGGCUCACCAGGCCGACGAUCUCUAGCUGGUCGGAGCGGAGGACCGGCCACACUGGGACGGAGACACGGCCCAGACUCCUACGGGAGGCAGCAGUGGGGAAUAUUGCGCAAUGGGGGCAACCUGACGGAGCAAUGCCGCGUGAAUGAAGAAGGCCUUCGGGUUGUAAAGUUCUUUCGUUAGCGAGGCGUUAACUACAGAAGAAGCACCGGCUAACUCCGUGCCAGCCGCCGCGGUAAUAC
This 405-nucleotide ribosomal RNA is filed under the name uncultured bacterium. RNAcentral's name for it is "partial 16S ribosomal RNA". It matches the Rfam family "Bacterial small subunit ribosomal RNA", at positions 30 to 526 of the family's 1533-position model. The record is from RNAcentral.